CCGGCGCACGGGUGAGUAACGCGUAUGCAACCUACCUACUACAGGGGAAUAACCCGGAGAAAUUCGGACUAAUACCGCAUAAUACAGGGGUCCCGCAUGGGAAUAUUUGUUAAAGAUUUAUCGGUAGUAGAUGGGCAUGCGUUCCAUUAGCCAGUUGGUGAGGUAACGGCUCACCAAAGCAACGAUGGAUAGGGGAACUGAGAGGUUUAUCCCCCACACUGGAACUGAGACACGGACCAG
This 240-nucleotide ribosomal RNA is filed under the name uncultured Bacteroidales bacterium. RNAcentral's name for it is "partial 16S ribosomal RNA". It matches the Rfam family "Bacterial small subunit ribosomal RNA", at positions 95 to 334 of the family's 1533-position model. Lineage: Bacteria; Pseudomonadati; Bacteroidota; Bacteroidia; Bacteroidales. The record is from RNAcentral.